RNAcentral lists this ribosomal RNA (253 nucleotides) under uncultured bacterium. RNAcentral describes it as "partial 16S ribosomal RNA". It matches the Rfam family "Bacterial small subunit ribosomal RNA", at positions 524 to 776 of the family's 1533-position model. The record is from RNAcentral.
UACGAAGGGGGCUAGCGUUGCUCGGAAUGACUGGGCGUAAAGGGCGCGUAGGCGGUUGGCACGGUCAGAUGUGAAAUUCCCGGGCUUAACCUGGGGGCUGCAUUUGAUACGUGUUGUCUAGAGUGAGGAAGAGGGUUGUGGAAUUCCCAGUGUAGAGGUGAAAUUCGUAGAUAUUGGGAAGAACACCGGUGGCGAAGGCGGCAACCUGGUCCUUGACUGACGCUGAGGCGCGAAAGCGUGGGGAGCAAACAGG